This is a long non-coding RNA of Pseudophryne corroboree (corroboree frog), 272 nucleotides long. RefSeq lists it as uncharacterized. NCBI's taxonomy places the organism in Eukaryota, Metazoa, Chordata, Amphibia, Anura, Myobatrachidae. The transcript has 3 exons. The record is from RefSeq and is a predicted model, not a curated record.
AUAUUUCUACAUGUAACUAGGUGACUACGCCUUGCAGCUUCCCCUACGUUAUAGGCUUUUUAACUUCAUUAUGUGAUCAGGCAUGUUGCCAACUUUGAAGGCCAUUCCACACAUCUGAGUGAUCUGGCUUGCCGUCCAGGUGAUUUAAGUGCCAAUCUUGAUAAAGGUCCGCAUAAGGACCGAAACGUCGAUGAAAUACGGCAUCAACAGUGAACCCGAAUAAAAAUAUACUGAAUUUACAAGUGACUUCAGAGACUAAUUUCUGGGCGCGA